UACAGAGAGUGCAAGCGUUAAUCGGAAUAACUGGGCGUAAAGGGCGCGUAGGUGGGCAGUUAAGAGAGAUGUGAAAGUCCUGGGCUUAACCUGGGGAGGUCAUCUGAGACUGGCUGUCUUGAGUGAGGUAGAGGUUAGCGGAAUUUCCGGUGUAGCGGUGAAAUGCGUAGAUAUCGGAAGGAACACCGGAGGCGAAGGCGGCUAACUGGGCCUUAACUGACACUGAGGCGCGAAAGCGUGGGUAGCGAACAGG
RNAcentral lists this ribosomal RNA (253 nucleotides) under uncultured bacterium. RNAcentral describes it as "partial 16S ribosomal RNA". It matches the Rfam family "Bacterial small subunit ribosomal RNA", at positions 524 to 776 of the family's 1533-position model. The record is from RNAcentral.